GAUGAACGCUGGCGGCGUGCCUAAUACAUGCAAGUCGAGCGAACAGACGAGGAGCUUGCUCCUCUGACGUUAGCGGCGGACGGGUGAGUAACACGUGGAUAACCUACCUAUAAGACUGGGAUAACUUCGGGAAACCGGAGCUAAUACCGGAUAAUAUAUUGAACCGCAUGGUUCAAUAGUGAAAGACGGUUUUGCUGUCACUUAUAGAUGGAUCCGCGCCGCAUUAGCUAGUUGGUAAGGUAACGGCUUACCAAGGCAACGAUGCGUAGCCGACCUGAGAGGGUGAUCGGCCACACUGGAACUGAGACACGGUCCAGACUCCUACGGGAGGCAGCAGUAGGGAAUCUUCCGCAAUGGGCGAAAGCCUGACGGAGCAACGCCGCGUGAGUGAUGAAGGUCUUCGGAUCGUAAAACUCUGUUAUUAGGGAAGAACAAAUGUGUAAGUAACUAUGCACGUCUUGACGGUACCUAAUCAAAAAGCCACGGCUAACUACGUG
RNAcentral lists this ribosomal RNA (497 nucleotides) under uncultured bacterium. Its description in RNAcentral is "partial 16S ribosomal RNA". It matches the Rfam family "Bacterial small subunit ribosomal RNA", at positions 28 to 507 of the family's 1533-position model. The record is from RNAcentral.